RNAcentral lists this transfer RNA (68 nucleotides) under Labrus bergylta (ballan wrasse). RNAcentral describes it as "tRNA-Phe". It matches the Rfam family "tRNA". Rfam says of the family: Transfer RNA (tRNA) molecules are approximately 80 nucleotides in length. Their secondary structure includes four short double-helical elements and three loops (D, anti-codon, and T loops). The record is from RNAcentral. Lineage: Eukaryota; Metazoa; Chordata; Actinopteri; Labriformes; Labridae. RNAcentral also lists the same sequence under 1 other name.
GCCAACGUAGCUUACGCAAAGCAUAACACUGAAGAUGUUAAGACGAGCCCUAGAAAGCUCCGUCAGCA